RNAcentral lists this ribosomal RNA (644 nucleotides) under Escherichia coli. RNAcentral describes it as "bacterial SSU rRNA". It matches the Rfam family "Bacterial small subunit ribosomal RNA", at positions 888 to 1532 of the family's 1533-position model. The record is from RNAcentral. Lineage: Bacteria; Pseudomonadati; Pseudomonadota; Gammaproteobacteria; Enterobacterales; Enterobacteriaceae.
GCAAGGUUAAAACUCAAAUGAAUUGACGGGGGCCCGCACAAGCGGUGGAGCAUGUGGUUUAAUUCGAUGCAACGCGAAGAACCUUACCUGGUCUUGACAUCCACAGAACUUUCCAGAGAUGGAUUGGUGCCUUCGGGAACUGUGAGACAGGUGCUGCAUGGCUGUCGUCAGCUCGUGUUGUGAAAUGUUGGGUUAAGUCCCGCAACGAGCGCAACCCUUAUCCUUUGUUGCCAGCGGUCCGGCCGGGAACUCAAAGGAGACUGCCAGUGAUAAACUGGAGGAAGGUGGGGAUGACGUCAAGUCAUCAUGGCCCUUACGACCAGGGCUACACACGUGCUACAAUGGCGCAUACAAAGAGAAGCGACCUCGCGAGAGCAAGCGGACCUCAUAAAGUGCGUCGUAGUCCGGAUUGGAGUCUGCAACUCGACUCCAUGAAGUCGGAAUCGCUAGUAAUCGUGGAUCAGAAUGCCACGGUGAAUACGUUCCCGGGCCUUGUACACACCGCCCGUCACACCAUGGGAGUGGGUUGCAAAAGAAGUAGGUAGCUUAACCUUCGGGAGGGCGCUUACCACUUUGUGAUUCAUGACUGGGGUGAAGUCGUAACAAGGUAACCGUAGGGGAACCUGCGGUUGGAUCACCUCCUU